GGUUCCAGAGUGCAGCAGUUAGCCUGUCUGCUUUACACCCAGAAGGUCCUGGGUUCGUGACCCAGUGGAGCCA
Molecule: transfer RNA, 73 nt
Filed under: Pteropus alecto (black flying fox)
Lineage: Eukaryota; Metazoa; Chordata; Mammalia; Chiroptera; Pteropodidae
Rfam family: tRNA
About the family: Transfer RNA (tRNA) molecules are approximately 80 nucleotides in length. Their secondary structure includes four short double-helical elements and three loops (D, anti-codon, and T loops).
Source: Rfam by way of RNAcentral